Molecule: non-coding RNA, 143 nt
Organism: Eubacterium sp. CAG:202
Lineage: Bacteria; Bacillati; Bacillota; Clostridia; Eubacteriales; Eubacteriaceae
Source: Rfam
GAAUAUAAAUUCGCUGUUCUAAAGACAGCAGGUGCAAUAUGCAUAAAGGUUAUACCGCCUGCCGAGGAAGAUGCAAUUUUACAUUAUUUUUGUAUUUUUGCGGCAGUCCGAGGUCUAAUCGGACUGCCUUGUUUUUUAAGAAC